Molecule: non-coding RNA, 5620 nt
Organism: Linepithema humile (Argentine ant)
Lineage: Eukaryota; Metazoa; Arthropoda; Insecta; Hymenoptera; Formicidae
Source: RefSeq, a predicted model, not a curated record
AGUUCGUCAGCGUACAUCGCGGUGCGUAGACGUGCGUACAUAGCGAGCACGUGAGCUUGUACACGUGAGCGAGUGAAUAGAGAGACUGAUAAAAAUACUACGAGAUCGAAUACACAUUUUACAUUGCCCGCACGCGUUUCGCAUUUCGUCAUUUAUUCGUGAAACGGCGCGACAUGAAGAUCACCGUUUAACAUCGCAGCCGAAAGCACAUUUUCCAUUGUGCCCGUGUUAGUGUCGGAUUUCUUCAGAUGCAGCCGCCGUUAGAGCACCGGAAAAGCAUGCACACAGACAAACGUUUAAUUUAUUUGUGCAGACCGUGGAUGCAGCCGAAGGCCAGCAGUGGCGGGGCCCACGCGGGCGGGACAGGUGACGAUGAGGCCCCGAAAGAUCCGGGCGCGCGGAUCACUCAUCAGUCUUACACGGAAAAGGAUUAUGAAGGUCACAGAGCGCAUACGGUGUACGUGGGCGUGCAUCUGCCGGGGGAGAGAAGACACCGUCGCCACCAUAAGCACCAUCAUUCACAACGGCAGUCAUACCCUUGCGGUAAGGAGGAUGCCGACAACGACAGGCCAAUUACUCCACCCGCCCAGAGAGUACAGUUUAUCCUCGGCGAGGAAGUUGGUGAUGAUGCACACGAAUCGCAUCCGCUCUUCUCAGAGAUGGAGGAGCUUGUCAAGGAUGGCGAUGAGAUGGAAUGGAAGGAAACGGCGAGAUGGAUCAAAUUCGAGGAAGAUGUCGAGGAAGGUGGCAAUAGGUGGAGCAAACCUCAUGUCGCCACAUUAUCGCUACACUCGCUCUUUGAGUUGAGAAGCCUUCUCUUAAACGGAACCGUCAUGUUGGAUAUGGAGGCACAGGGCUUGGAGCAGAUAGCUGAUCUCGUUUUGGAUAAUAUGGUCAAUAAAGGAGUGUUGCCGACCGAAUUGCGAGAGAAGGUGAGAGAAGCCCUCCUCGUCAGACAUCGGCAUCAGCACGAAAGACGUAAAGACAAUAACAUGUCGAAGUUACCGAUCAUACGAUCGUUAGCUGAGAUAGGACGCAAUCAUUCCUCCUCAAAGAAUUGCGACUGUUCAUGUGGUAUGCAUGCCUUGUUGACGUCAGAUUUGCAGGAGCGUCGCGAACCGAAGGACGCCUAUGUACCAUCUGUCGCCCGCAGCAGCAGUUGCCCGAACUCGAAUACGGCUCCGCUGUCGAAAGAGGCGAAAGACCUCAAAGGGCCGUACCUUCUGGUUCCAGUGGAGGAAUCGAAUUCCGCUCCCGCGAUCGCCGGCGCAACAAGUCAGGGCAGUGGAGCAGCGCUGAAUGCUGGUAGCCGCUUCCUUGCGAUACCCGGCAAUCCCGGCCAAGAACCCGGCAGCAACGGGAUAGACCGCAGCCCCAGCAGUGUGUCCAUCAGCAGAAAUCACAGUUCUUCCGCUUUGGAAAACGGAGAUGCUAAUCACAGGGGUAAUACACACUUCAUGAGGAAGAUACCAGCCGGCGCUGAAGCAAGCAACAUACUUGUGGGUGAGGUCGAUUUCCUCGACAAGACUCUGUCCGCAUUCAUUCGAUUGAGCCAAGCCGGGAUAAUGGGCGACCUGACAGAAGUUCCUGUUCCAACGAGAUUUAUCUUCGUUCUCUUAGGACCGAUGGGCGGUAUUUCGGGUUUCCACGAGAUCGGUCGAGCGAUGGCAACCUUGAUGUCCGACGAAGUCUUCCACGAUGUGGCUUACAAGGCAAAAAAUAGAAAUCACCUUUUAGCCGGUAUCGACGAGUUCUUAGACGCCGUGACGGUAUUACCACCCGGUGAAUGGGAUCCGGCGAUUCGAAUAGAACCGCCAGCUGCUAUUCCGUCGCAGGAAGUCAGAAAGAGGCCGAAGGAGGAAAAGCCUAAGGAAGAUUUCGACGAGGAAGCUGAUGAACAAAAGCUGAGAGAAGAAUCCGGUCUCGAGAGAACCGGAAGACUAUUCGGCGGUCUGAUCAACGACGUUAAAAGGAAAGCUCCGUUUUAUUUCUCCGACUUCAAGGACGCUUUGGCGCUUCAAUGCGUGGCUUCUUUCAUCUUCUUGUACUUCGCCUGUUUAUCGCCCAUUAUUACCUUCGGUGGCCUCCUCAGCGAGGCCACCGGCAAGCAUAUGGCCGCUAUGGAAUCACUAGUUUCCGGUUUCGUUUGCGGCAUAGGAUAUGGAUUCUUUUCUGGCCAGCCGUUGACUAUACUCGGUUCCACCGGUCCGGUUCUCGUUUUCGAGACGAUCGUUUACGAAUUCUGCAAGAAAGUCGAUUGGAAUUACAUGUCAUUCCGCUACUGGAUCGGAACAUGGACCGCCCUUAUUCUGAUCAUUCUCGUGGCCCUUGACGCAAGUGCUUGCGUCUGUUACAUCACCCGAUUUACGGAGGAGAACUUCGCCACGCUCAUCGCCUUCAUCUUUAUCUACAAGGCUAUCGAAAAUGUGCUGUCAAUCGGCAAGAAGUAUCCCGUGAACACCUAUCCUAACGAAAUGUUGGGCUACAAUUGCUGGUGUAAACCACCGAACAUCACUCUGCCAUCCAGUUAUAAUAACAUGAAUUGGACGACGUUGGAGAAGGAAGCCUGCGAGAGCUACAACGGCACGAUGGUAGGCGACGACUGCAAUGCACCGCAUUAUGUACCCGAUGUGUUCCUUAUGUCAAUUAUCCUAUUCAUGGGUACGUUCUUACUGUCGGUGGAACUCAAAGAUUUCAAGAACGCUUUAUUCUUCCCCUCGAAGGUGAGGCAAGUGGUGAGCGACUUUGCAGUGAUAAUCGCGAUAUUCUCAAUGAGCUCACUGGAUCACUUCGUGGGGAUUCCAACGCCGAAAUUGGAGGUGCCGGCAGAGUUCAAACCGACAUUGGAGGGACGAGGAUGGAUAAUCUGGCCUUUUCAGAAGAAUCCGUGGUGGAGUGCUAUUGUGGCGUUUCUCCCCGCUUUAUUGGGCACUAUAUUGAUCUUCAUGGAUCAGCAGAUCACGGCCGUUAUUGUUAAUAGGAAAGAAAAUAAGUUGAAGAAAGGAUGCGGGUAUCAUUUGGACCUCUUCGUUUUGGCCAUCCUAAUUGAAAUAUGUUCAGUGAUGGGACUUCCAUGGUUCGUCGCAGCGACGGUCCUUUCCAUAAAUCACGUGAACUCGUUGAAGUUGGAAUCCGAAUGCGCCGCGCCGGGCGAGAAGCCGCAAUUUUUAGGCGUCCGCGAGCAGAGAGCUACUCAUAUAUUAAUUUUCCUGAUGAUCGGAUGCUCGGUGCUCCUAACACCGAUGCUGAGGAAUAUACCGAUGCCGGUACUGUUUGGCGUCUUCCUGUACAUGGGCGUCGCCUCGUUGAAGGGUCUCCAAUUUUUUGACAGGAUUCUAAUUAUGCUGAUGCCCGUUAAAUAUCAACCAGACUACAUGUUCCUCCGCCAAGUACCGUUGAAACGUGUACACAUGUUCACUGCAAUCCAGCUUACUUGCCUCGCCUGCUUGUGGCUCAUAAAAUCCUUCAGUUCUACCUCGAUUCUGUUCCCCUUAAUGCUUGUCGUAAUGAUCGGCAUACGCAAAUCUCUGGACUUGAUAUUCACCCAACGCGAACUGAAAAUCCUCGACGACGUAAUGCCGGAACCGAGCAAGAAACACGCCGAGGAGCUCCGUAAGCUGGAGAACGGCGAGGAGCAGACAAUGGGAUAUGGGCCUCCGGGAAACAUUCAGAUCUCUUUGGCCAACGGGAAUAUUAUGAAGAUCCCUCUUGCGAGUAUCAAUAUCAGCGAGGAAGUGAAUAAAACUGGCAUUUGGCAGCAGGUCAACGAGGGAAACGAAAAAUCGAAACAAUCAAAAUCACUAAUCAAGCAAUGUGGGAAAACAAAAGAAGCAUCCAAAGAAAGACAACUCGUUAGUAGCCGACGAAACAACAAGGCUGACGACGAUGACCGAAGAGGACGAGGAUGACAGUGGGAUCUCGAUCAAGGUGACACACGUAAAUGACUCUAAAUUCUAACUACCAUCACCAUCACGAAUAACCGACAAUUCAUAUGGCAAGACACACAGCAAGAGCACCAAUACACCGGCAUGCAACAUACCCCAUGCACCGCUGUAGAUUUAAUACGAUCAAAGGAAAGCAUCAGUCCCUUAAAAGCAAAUGGUACUACCUCAGCUGAAACUUCCGUUUAACAAGAAGAUAAGAGAAAUGAAUGUACGCUAAAGCAGCAUACAAGUUUCUUUACAUCAAUCAUUUCAAUAUCUCGAUGAACUGUUUCCUUUUCUACCGUUUCUAUUUUUAUCUUAUGAAUUGCCAUUCAAAUGACAAAAAGUGAUAAAUCAUAUCAUAUUUCUUCAAAACGUUCAUCCUGAUCAAAAAUAAUAUCUACUAUCAUUUAUCUUAAUCUUAUUCUCUUGUAUUAUAUUUGUACUAUAUUUAGCGAACAAUGCGCCACGUGCUCUUAGCGAAUACCCCACAAUUUAUACUCAACUGUAUAAAUGAGAUUCACCGUGCACAGUCUCAAUCUGUAUAUAAAAACAAUUCAGCAAGAUUCGUCAAUAACGUCCAAUUGUGAUUUCAUGAAGCCUCUUUUUUCAUCCCCAGGAUAAGGUAAUGGUACGCGUUGCAUUUCGAAUUGCGGCAGAUUCGUAUAAAAACAACUUUAAAAGUAUGCAAAAACAAAAGAAGCAAAUAUAUCUUUUAAUGGCUAUUUAUGCAAUUCUUCGUUAAUAUUACGCGUGAACUGAUGAUGAGAAGAACAAAAGAAGACGAUUCUAAAAUAUUUAAAAAAAAAUGCUUUAAAGUAAUAGAGAUGUAGUAGUUACAUGUUUUUUACGUUUAGUAACGACGGCAAAUACAAAAAAUGCGCAUUUAAAAAUCCGCUACAUCUUUUUUAGAUGUAUCGAUAUUGAAAAAUCAUUAAAAAAACGCACACUUUUCCAAAUCGCAAUAUAAUAUGGCAUUUAAAAUAUAAACGCAAACUACAAAAUAAAAAUUGAGUUCUUAAACGCAUUUGAAAUUACUCAAGCUUUGUCGUAUUCAAAUAUUCGAAUAAUUAAAAUUGAAAUAUUCUUAUGAGCAUAUAUAUAUAUAUAUAUAAAGCGAAUGAUAAUAAAUGACAGCAAUAACAUUUAUUGUCGCUAGUAGCAUUGCGUAGAUAAGUAUUCGAGUGUGUGCAAUUGAAGUUAUUCGAAUACUUGAACAGUGACAGCUGUAGUUUUAAGUUCGUCGUAUCAAUUUCAAAUUUAUAUGAUGUGAAUCAUAGAAAAAUGAGCAAGAAUAUCGUAUUGUCGUAUAUAUGAUUCUGCAUGUAGCGACUAAGUAGUUAAAGUAACUUUAUAAUCGUACUAUGCCAAAGAAACCCCACGAUAUAUACGUGUCGAUAUUUCCUUCGAGGGAUAUCCUGCAAGUUAUUACUAGCAAACGUUGCAAGCAACUGAAUGCAUGUUAAAAAAAGACAAAUCUGACAAAUGCUGCUUGUUAAGAAAAUUGUGUUUUUCAAUAUUGUUCAUUUUCUAAUAAUAUUAAUUCGAUACCUUGGAGUAAGAAUUGUCGAAGUAAUUUUGUAAUUCAAAAAAAUAUAAAUAUUCGUCCUCUAAAAUCAUAAAAUAAUCAUAAAAUAAUAUUAACUCUUCUCGUUUCAAAAUACUAAUAUCUCGCUAAUUUUACAAGAGUAAUUUUA